UUCCAGACUCCUACGGGAGGCAGCAGUGGGGAAUAUUGGACAAUGGGGGGAACCCUGAUCCAGCGACGCCGCGUGAGUGAAGAAGUAUUUCGGUAUGUAAAGCUCUAUCAGCAGGGAAGAAAGAAAUGACGGUACCUGACUAAGAAGCCCCGGCUAACUACGUGCCAGCAGCCGCGGUAAUACGUAGGGGGCAAGCGUUAUCCGGAAUUACUGGGUGUAAAGGGAGCGCAGACGGCAGUGCAAGUCUGGAGUGAAAGCCCGUGGCUUAACUACGGGACUGCUCUGGAAACUGUGCAGCUAGAGUGCAGGAGAGGCAGGCGGAAUUCCUAGUGUAGCGGUGAAAUGCGUAGAUAUUAGGAGGAACACCGGUGGCGAAGGCGGCCUGCUGGACUGUAACUGACGUUGAGGCUCGAAAGCGUGGGGAGCAAACAGGAUUAGAUACCCGAGUA
RNAcentral lists this ribosomal RNA (449 nucleotides) under uncultured bacterium. Its description in RNAcentral is "partial 16S ribosomal RNA". It matches the Rfam family "Bacterial small subunit ribosomal RNA", at positions 329 to 792 of the family's 1533-position model. The record is from RNAcentral.